Marmota monax (woodchuck) is the source of this 6809-nucleotide long non-coding RNA. RefSeq lists it as uncharacterized. The transcript is spliced from 2 exons. The record is from RefSeq and is a predicted model, not a curated record. NCBI's taxonomy places the organism in Eukaryota, Metazoa, Chordata, Mammalia, Rodentia, Sciuridae.
CCACACAAGCACUUCUCAUUGCUGCCCACCAUCUUCCUCCCCCACAGCCACCUGUGCCCCAGAUGGCCUGGUUCUCUCUGUUCAGUCCCUUGAUGGCCUCCAGCCACCAGUAUGGAGCCAGAUACACUUCUGUUGAAAUUCCGGAAGAAAAAAAAAAGUGUGUGAAUUCCAAAAUGGUCCUGGAAUGAAAGAAGAAAAUGUCAGGGUGAGGGGUGUGAGUUCUCUGGUCUGGGAUUUCUGUUUCGGGCCCAGGAUUCAGUGAGGAAGAGUUCCCUCCUAGACACCCUGGGGAAUCCUAAAGAGUGUGAGAGUGAGGGGAUGGUGCUGAGGCCAUCCUGAGCGCAGGAGACCUGCUCUAGCAAUGGUGGGGAUGGGGACGCUGUUAAAGCCAGGAUCCCCCCACCUGACUGAGAGUUCCCAGCACUCUCCUGCUCACCGACAUGUUCUUUACCUCAGGAUGCUGGAGGCAGGAGGGGUGUGGUCUCUGGGCCACCAAGGAAGGGCUUCUGUGGGGACAAGUGUGACUCCUGUGCCUUGUGCUCUAAGGCAAGCCUGUUACCUGCCACCCUGUUUCCUGCCACAUAUGCAAAAUCAAUGCCACCUGUCAUCAACACUGUGAGUGAAACUCAGGAUCUUCAUGUUGGCCAGAGCAAGGUGGGGGUCUUAAGCUCAUUUACCAGAGUCAUGCAAUGAAGUGAGUAGUCCCCGAAUUCUCAGCCAGGGCCCAAGACAAACUUGGACCGUGGACUGAGGUGGAGACGGGCUUUGCUUCAAUUUCUUGUUCUUUGCGUUCAUUUACCCAGAUGUUUCCACAGUCUUUCCCACAGGUGCAAAAAUGGUUGUGAAAGAAGAAAGAAAGCCAGAUCCUUGAGGGUUUCCAUGCCUGGAGAUGAACAGCUCAUAGGAGAGCCCUGACAUUUCUGCAGGUGGCUGGUGACUCCCCUCUGGCACUGAGUCCCCUGGGCCCUGCUGCCAGCCUGACCACCUAUUAGGUGCAGGACAGGCUGAGUAAGCUGUCUGCAGGGCAUGCCAAACAAAGUUAGCUGCAGGAUGACCUGGCCUCUCAAACCCUCUGUCUGGUUCUUUAUCAACUAUUUGCUUCAAGCCCAAACGCCCAAGCCCCCGCUCAAGGCCGAACACUUAACCCCCCUUGUGCCAACAAGGCAGCUUGCAGACCCAGAGACCUCAUUAGAUUUGGGCUAUAAAAACUCCCUCCUGCCGGGCCCCUCUCUCUCUUGCUUUCUCUCUCUCUUGUGCGGGCUUCCUCUCUCUCUCUCUCUCUCUCUCUCUCUCUCUCUCCUUCUCUUUCUCUCUCUUCUCCUCUGUUGCACUGCUGCAAUAAAGCUCUCUUGGUCACUCUGAGUGUUGCGGUCACUUUCCUUUCAUUGAUGUCGAAACCCGGGAGAGGGUUAAAACCCACUUUUGGGUCUCUUCCUUCGGAAGUGCCACUCACCCGACGACCUGAACCUAUUUUCUCGAUUGCCAGAACUACAUCCACAACCUACCUUCGAUUGGUGAGUUUCCCCUUCCUGGAGUCCUAAACCCAAUGGUGAUGUCGGCAGGAUUUGGCUGUUGAUUGUCCGGCAAACCUGUUUGCCCACCUGCGGGGAGGAACACACCCCACCACAGCCUUCAAGGCCACGAUGGCCCUCAGGGACUCCUUCUUGGGCAGAUUAGACUCUUGGGUUCAAAUUUAUUCUCCUUCCCAGCUGGUAAUUUACCAGCAUAGGCUUCUUAGGUCUCCCUCAAAAGACUGUGAAACCUCCAGGGACACAUAACAGAGAACUUAACAUCACAUCCUACCCAGACCUCACGAUUUUGGUGACUCUCCUAAAAUCCUAGUCCUCACACCUUCAAGACUCGGCCUCCAGAGAGAACCUUACCCUUCCCUUCCUCUCUCUUCCCCUGUCUCUCUCUUUCCCCUCUUUCCGGCCCUGGGAGUAUCCGGCCUCUCUAGGAGGGGUCCCGAAAAGCCUUGGCCAAGGUCUCCCACAGGCUCCAGCUCCGUCCAGGACGAGAGCUUCGACUGUCAGGAUUCGGUGACGACCAAUCUCUGCAGCUCGAACCUGCCACUAAGGCACUCCUGAGUUUUGGCUCUAGCGAGGACGCCCCUUUUGCCAAUAAAUCAGUUUCCUCCUUCUCUCUUAUAUAUACAGUUGCGUCUCCUUCCUUCUCCUCUAUACCAAGUUUGCAUCCCCUUCCCUCCUCCUUAUACUACUUUGUGACAUGGGUAAUGUGUCCUCUCUGCCGGUCGACUCUCCCCUACAAUGCCUCUUGGAUAACCUCAAAACCCUCUCCUUGACACCAGACAUCAAACCCCCAAAAUUGAUCAAAUAUAGCACCCAGGCCUGGCCCACUUAUCCCUUAGACAACCAAAACAGAUAGCACCCUUUUGGGUCCCUGGAUCCCUCCAUUCUAAGGGAUCUCUACUGUUACUGUGGGCAUUGGAAAAAAUGGGUAGAGAGCUGCUAUGUCAAAGCUUUCUUCCUGCUUGUGCUCUCUGCACCUCUUGCAACCCUCUACAAAUUCGUCUAGCUUGCAAACCAACUCCCCCAACCACCGAUCCCCAAUCUCCUCCUCCUCCAGACUCAUCCACUUCUUUUGACCCUGCGGAUGAAUUUCCACCCUAUCGCCCAGCUCCAACAGAUCCUCACCCUCAGCCUUCUGCCCCAGACUCUCCGCCAUCACUCCCACCUCGGUAACCUGCUUUCUCUCCUCCAAUUACUAGAUCAAAAACGUACACCACCACCCUUCCUCAGACCGUUGCCCCCUUGCUGAGGUAGCAGUUACUAAAGGAAUCCCUUUACCCACUCACUCCUCUCUUCUACUGUUAGCACCCACACCGGGUCCCACCAGGUCCUUUUACCAGCUAACCCAAAGCUCAAAUGAGCUGAGGAGAGCCCUCAGACCCCUAUCCAAGAUCUGGUGAAAUGGCCUUUAAAGUUGCUUUGUCAUCACUGAAAACAGGUUACUAAGAAUUAAAGUCCCUUACAGGCUUUUUGGGAUAUUCAUUCCCGUCUUCCCCUCUGCUCUACCUGUUCUUCUGCUCAAGUUUUCCUUGCUAGGGAAAAUCCCAAACCCCUUUCCCAUUAUUCUUUCACAUCUCCUUCCUCAUUCUCAGAUCGAAAGGAGCUGCUGUCAGCCCCGCCUUCCCGUCUUCCCCCUCCCUACCAGGCCCACAGAAAAGUCUUAACUGACCUUCUCCAGAAGUCUUCACCAUGGCUGAUUUUAGGACUUUCAGCAAAAGAAUCUCUACAAAAGAGUUUAAUGUAGAUAAACUUCCUAUUUUCAUGUUGCCCUGUUUUACUUGGCUACUGUCUGGAAAAAAUCAGCACUCCAAAAGCUAGACACCUCCUUACUAGUUUUUCACAAAAAUAUGUAAACAAGGCCUCUGGCCUUGAGCUGGGCUUCAUAGUGCUGACUACAUUUCUAAGAUAAGGAAGUUACCAACUGGGCUCCAUGGUAACAGCUGGCAGGGGGAGGAAAGAAAGGGAAGAAAAAGCUCUCCCCUUCCCAGGUGUCCUUGAAGGGUUAACUUGCCCAGAACAGAGAAAAAAAGAAAGAAAACUGCUUUUUGUGAACUUCUGCAGACUGUGAACUUCUGAGCCCCUCCCCUUACAUGCUGGGUGCAAAAUUCUGAAACUACCUAAACUUGGGGUUCAGGGGGUUAAUUGAUUAUGGCAGAGGCUGUGUCCUCUGAAUCUGCAACCAAAUAAGACUGUUUCCCUAUCUUCACUGCUAUCUUAGGUGCCUUGCCUUGUCCGUCCCUACAACAGUAUAAUUCUAUAUACUUAAACAUUGUUCACGUUUUCAUGAAAUGGUAAACAGAUGUGAUUAAUUGUGUAAUGCAAGUAAGAAAAUAUCUCUUAUUAAAAUGGAAUAACUUGCCUAAAUUCAUAAAUUUACAAGGAUUGUUUCAAAGUGUGAAUAAAGAAGGAGUUAACAGAGGGGAAAGAGAAAUUAGAAGGUUCUAAGUAUGGAUUUAAUAGAAGGAAAAGGUGUUUCUAGAUAAGGUGUUUCUAUAUGAUUAAGUAAAUAAGAGGGUAUAAGCAAGUGAUAAAGAAGGUCUAUGUAUGAUGGCUAUAUAGGUUUGAGUAAGUGAUAAAGAAGUUCUGUGUAAUUUGGUUAUAUAUGUAAAUUUUUUGAGCAAGUAAUCUUGAAGGAAUUAAGCAUUAUACAACUAUGGUUAAACAACAACUGUUAUUUUGCAAUAUUGGUAAUAUAUUAUUUCUUCUAUUACUCUUCUUUGUAUAUUAAAUAUGUUCAUAUUUUCCAGGUAUAAAAAUAAUUAAGAUAGAAGCUUUUAAAAAAUUAUAUCAAGCUGGUGUUCUCCAAAAGGUUUCAUGGUAAUUUUAGGCUUAUAAAAAUAACAUAUUGGAGAUUUAUUUAUAUCAUUUAAUUUUCUAUAACUGGACCUAUUAUCAAUAAGAUUAAUAUAAAGUUCUAUAAACUGGGUACAAUUUAAAUGCAAUAUAUUGUGUUAGCUGGUAUUCAUGUGACCUCGAACAACAAUAUAUGUAAUCUUUAUAAAGUGAUAUUUAAAAACAAAGAUCAGCUUCAAUACUAGAACACUUUACCUAAGAUUUAUAAAUCUUAGCCUUACCUGAGAUAAGGCUGUGCCUCCCAUCUUACCACAUGUUAGAAUGACUCCAAAGUAGGCCAGACUUCAGCUAAAGCCCGAUACUCUUAAUUUAAGGUGAAACUGACUUUGCAGGAUGUUUACGAUCAAGACUUAAAGUUAAAUUAAAAUGGCCAAGUAAACCAAUAUUUGGCUCUGGCCCUCUGAGUCAGUCUGAAACCAGGGAACAGGGGACUUCUCUAAAGUACUUUGCAACUCUGGGCCACAUAACCUCCUGAUCAGGGAGAUUAAUGAGACCACUGGAGAAUGAAAAGCCAAUCAGUGUACUUGCUGUGAAUAGGAGGGUCAUGGGAGACAGGAGACAUCCCUGAUGCUUCCAAGGGAAGCCACAUGGUCAAGCAAGACCUGGACCCAUCCUAGCGCAAAUAGCACUAGCAGAACUACGAAGCUGCUCUCAAGUUCCCCCACGAGUGACCCCUAUGGGAACUCAGCUAACUCUUAACAAUAGAUAGAAACAAAGUCAAUUUUGACCAGCUUGAUCUUAAACACCUACCAAAGACAGUUAAGCCAAAACACAGUCAUUCCUGGGAGUAAUGAAGGUCAAGAACAGCUAGAAAAGAGGAGACAGCAACUAGGCUAACAGUCUCCAUGGGGAAUAUUCAGUCAAGUAUGGCCUUGGCUCCUCCCUGUCACAGGACCCCUAUUUGUUAGUCUUCUUUAUGUUUCUCCUAAUAGGACCAUGACCAUUAAACUGCCUACAGAAGUUCCUGCAAGAUCAGAUACACAAAUUCACCAACCAGUCUGUCAAUCAACUACUUCUUUAAAACUACCAGCCCCUGAUGCCCAAGACAGAGACCUACGACUCAUGACCAACUCCUCUAGCUGCAGAGACUCUGCGCCCACCUAAAACCCUCUCUAACCCCUUUUCCAGAUUUUACAACCCCUCUUUCACUUCCUAGGAAUGAGAACUACUCUCCAGCAGGUCCACUCUGCUUGUUCUGUCUGCUCUACAGCAUCCCCACAAGGAAGCGUCAAACCUAAACUCCCCAGGCAUCAGAUGAGGAGCCACCAGCCAGGCGAAGACUGGUACAUUAACUUCACUCAUGUGCCUAGGCACAAAAAGCUUCGCUACCUACUUACUUUGGUUGAUACUUUUUCAGGUUGGAUAGAAGCCUUCCCUACAUCCAGGGAAGCUGCUGACACUGUCACCUCCAUCCUCAUUGACAGAUCAUUCCCAGGUUCAGACUUCCCGCCUCCAUCCAGUCAGACAACAGUCUGGCCUUCACUUCUCAGGUUGUUCAACUAGUCUCCAAAGGCCUCAACAUCACUUGGAGGCUCCACAUCCCCCACCAACCCCCAUUCUCGGAUGCCGCUUCUACAUUCCAAGUGACAUGGCACCAGGAUGACACCACCCACUCUCAGUUUAUGGGUCAAGGUGAUUGCCCUUCCACUGGCUGCAAUUGGGCUGUCCACCCUUAACAUUACUGGAUUCAACAAAGCCACCUCCAAUACUUCCUAGAAUCCCUGCUACAGAACUAGUGGCUGAUACCAAGAAUCUCCUCCGGCCAGGACUGGUUUGAUGCCAUCGAUGACUUGUGGCUUCAAGGAACUUUUAUGGACUUUACCCCUACCAAAGCAGUUGUCUGUAGCCACUGGGUUUUAUUUCUGGCUGCCCUGGUAUUCUCAGACCUGUCCCCCGAACAUUCCUCGACUUCCCCUUCUAGGUCCAACGCUGCCCACCAUUAAGCAGGAAGUAGCCAGAGGACUUUACGCCGUCCCCCAUGUCACUUAGAAAAACAAACAGGGAGGAAUGUUAGGUGCAGGACAGGCUGAGUAAGCUGUCUGCAGGACAGGCUGAGUAAGCUGUUUAGAGGGCAUGCCAAAGUUAGCUGCAGGGUGACCAGGCCUCUCAAACCCUCUGUCUGGUUCUUUAUCAACUAUUUGCUUCAAGCCCAAAUGCCCAAGCCCCCACUUAAGGCUGAACACUCAACCCCCUGCUCAAGGCCAAACACUUAACCCCCCUUGUGCCAACAAGGCAGCUUGCAGACCCAGAUAACUCAUUAGAUUUGGGCUAUAAAAACUCCCUCCUGCCGGGUCCCUCUCUCUCUUGCUCUCUCUUUUGCUUUCUCUGUCUCUCUCUUGUGUGGGCUUCCUCUCUCUCUCUCUCCUUCUCUCUCUCUCUCUUCUCCUCUGUUGCACUGCUGCAAUAAAGCUCUCUUGGUCGCUCUGA